Molecule: long non-coding RNA, 866 nt
Organism: Hyla sarda
Lineage: Eukaryota; Metazoa; Chordata; Amphibia; Anura; Hylidae
Exons: 3
Source: RefSeq, a predicted model, not a curated record
UAAUUUUCCCAAGAAUCCACUGGCUUUGCAGAGAGAGGGGGGUGGAGUGAAAUUAGAUGCAGAUGCUGGAGUCUAGCCCCUCAUAAGGGGAUUUGCGUCAGUUCACACUGUGCUAUUUAGAUAGGUUUACGUAUUAAAAAUACAUCUUUUAGCAUUUUGCCAUGAGGAGAAAAUGAUUUGACCUACAAUCACAAGUAACUGCUCUACCUAGAUAAUGCUUAGAGCAAGGGUAGUGAUUAGACUCCUCCCCCUUUGUCAGAUGCAUGAUGGGAAAUGUGGGCUGCAUUAGGAAAGCCAUACCAGAGGGGAAGAAGACAACCUGUGCAUGCCACAUCCACUACAAAAGGUUGACACAUGGCACGCAUCUUAUGUACAGACCUUGGCAUUAGUGAAGGACAAAAGAAAAGCGAAAAACAACAAAACAAAAUAGAGGGAAGGAUUGCCAACGGAGAAGGAAGAAGCAAAGGCAGAAGAGUUAAAACAAUGUGAAAGGCAAAGAGAGAUUUAUUUAUGUGUCAUUCGACUCCAGAGAGGAUUAAGUCUUGAGAAUUACUUUUCCACUACCCCUUAGGACUCCUUGGCAGCUUCUUCAAAUGUUGGCUGAUCAGCCGUAUUCCCGUGAAUGCCGGUAUAUAAGAAACGAACAUCAAUAUUUGGCUUAGAUCUUUUCCUUUUAAGGGGCAAGAUGAAUCAACAUGACAAGAUCUAUGCCAAGUUUUAAAAACAGAUGUUAAUGGCUCAGACUUUAAACGGAAAUAAUAUUAAAAUAAAAGAUAAAUUGAAUCACGAGGAGCCAUUAAAACUUCUUCAACAUGGAAUUAGAAGAAAAGCGAAAACAUUGGAGAAAAUAGGAAAAAAAAGCUAAA